UGCCAGCCGCCGCGGUAAUACGGAGGGAGCGAGCGUUAAUCGGAAUUACUGGGCGUAAAGCGCGCGUAGGCGGCUUUGUAAGUCGGAUGUGAAAGCCCAGGGCUCAACCCUGGAAUUGCAUUCGAUACUGCAUGGCUAGAGUAUGGUAGAGGGAAGUGGAAUUUCCGGUGUAGCGGUGAAAUGCGUAGAUAUCGGAAGGAACACCAGUGGCGAAGGCGACUUCCUGGGCCAAUACUGACGCUCAUGUGCGAAAGUGUGGGUAGCGAACAGGAUUAGAUA
RNAcentral lists this ribosomal RNA (279 nucleotides) under uncultured bacterium. Its description in RNAcentral is "partial 16S ribosomal RNA". It matches the Rfam family "Bacterial small subunit ribosomal RNA", at positions 506 to 784 of the family's 1533-position model. The record is from RNAcentral.